Molecule: ribosomal RNA, 278 nt
Filed under: uncultured Eubacteriales bacterium
Lineage: Bacteria; Bacillati; Bacillota; Clostridia; Eubacteriales
Description: uncultured Clostridiales bacterium partial 16S ribosomal RNA
Rfam family: Bacterial small subunit ribosomal RNA
Source: RNAcentral
AUGAAGUUUUCGAAUGGAUUUAAAACAGCUUAGUGGCGGACGGGUGAGUAACGCGUGGGUAACCUGCCUCAUACAGGGGGAUAACAGUUGGAAACGACUGCUAAUACCGCAUAAGCCCACGGCUCGGCAUCGAGCAGGGGGAAAAGGAGCAAUCCGCUUUGAGAUGGCCUCGCGUCCGAUUAGCUAGUUGGUGAGGUAACGGCCCACCAAGGCGACGAUCCAUAGCCGGCCUGAGAGGGUGGCCGGCCACACUGGGACUGAGACACGGCCCAGACUCC